RNA transcript from Populus euphratica (Euphrates poplar), 3996 nucleotides. It is a transcript of the gene named U-box domain-containing protein 5-like, with no coding region annotated. Lineage: Eukaryota; Viridiplantae; Streptophyta; Magnoliopsida; Malpighiales; Salicaceae. The record is from RefSeq and is a predicted model, not a curated record. The transcript is spliced from 7 exons.
CUUUUUUCACUGUUAUUCAUGGCCAGACAUGCAAGAAAACCUGAUACGACUGACUAGUCUUGUUCAACUUUGUAAAUUGCCCAGCAAAUAUUGCUGGUUGACCUGUCUCUCUCAUUGGUUCUAUAAAGUCUUCACAGUGAGGUAAACUAUCUAUUUCGUGAUUUGGUGCAUUGACUUUGUUGCCCUGAGAAUCUAACUAUUUAUAAGCUUUAAUAUUCAGAAGCGUACUUCAUUUUCACUGCAAUUAUGCCGAGUUUGUUUGUGGGUUUUCUUUGUUUUUGUGUUUGAAGCUGAAGUUCAAAAUUUUGUAACAGAAUUGUUACCUCUUCUCUUGCUUUGCUCUUUGAGGGAAAAUCCAAUUCUGAGCUAUGCUUGCUCGCUCUUUCUUUUAUUAGUUAAGGAAACAUCGUGGGGUUGAGUUUUUUGAGUCACUAGUAGUUAUCAAGGAAGUGGGAAGUGGGUUUUGAUGAAUAAGAAUUUUAGUCACUGAGAUUCUCUGUGGGGUGUUAACCUUCAUCAACAUGUGCUGCUUUUAAAUAUUGCUGCCUCUUUACUUUGCUUCUCUACUCCGGCGCUGUAAGGAGGCUACUUUGGCUACCUGACUUCUGCUUGUAAUUCAAGGUGCUCUAAAGAUACUGUUAGAAUUGCGUAUGUUGUCAAGGCAAGUUUAUCGGCGGGAAAUUUUGGGGUUUAUUAGAAUUGGCCAUUUUCCUUAUUGGGAUUAACUGGUGGUUCAACUGAUUCCUUAGCAGCAAGGGAAGGAGCUUUUUAUAUCUGUUGUGGUUUCAGUAUCACUAGAUCCAGCAUACUCCUUUUGGAUGGGAACCGAUGCUGCUGAAGUAGUGGAGACACUGCCGUUUCCUUAUUCCUUCAAGGUGCAUCACUCCAUGUGUACAGAGUUGAUGAAGUUGGUCGAUAGAGUUUCAAAAAAAUUUCCAGAAAUUGAAGCAGCUAGACCUCGGUGCUCGUCAGGAAUACAGGCACUAUGCUUGUUAAACAAAGCACUUGAGAAAGCCAGGAAACAUCUUCAGUACUGUUGCGACUCUAGCAAACUAUAUUUGGCAAUAACGGGGGAUGCUAUUGUCUCAAAAUGUCAAAGAUUAAGGAACUUGCUGGAACAAAGUUUAGCCCAAUUACAAACAAUGGUUCCAAUAAUGUUGGCUGCCGAGAUAUCUCAAAUUAUUGAUGAUCUUCAGGCAGCAAUGUUUAUGCCAGAUUCCUCUGUAGAAGAGGCUGGUAAAGCCAUGCGUGAAUUGCUCCAGCAGGACAAUUUAGGAUCUCAGUAUAUGGUGAAUUCUGAAAUCAAGGCUAUUCAACUUGCAGCUUCAAGACUGCAUUUUACAUCUCGAAAGGCCAUACUGAUAGAGAAAAGAUCUAUUAAGAAGCAGCUAGAUAAGGAUGGUGGCAAUAAACCCACAAAAAAGAGUAUCUUAAAUUACCUUAUGUUUCUAUUGAAGAAGCAUGGAAACUUACUCAUUGAAGAGCAAACAGAGAUUCCCAAAGCUCAGCAUGAAGGAUUAUUUUCACAGAAGAACCCCAGUGAUACUUCUUUCCAUCGACAAUACAAUCAAGUAGAGUCUUGUGUAGGAUGUGAGCAGUAUGAGACUCAAACUGACAUGUUUAGUAGAGCUACACCCCCUGAAGAGUUCAAGUGUCCUAUAUCUAUGAGAGUGAUGUACGAUCCUGUUGUUAUUGCUUCUGGACAAACAUUUGAAAGGAUGUGGAUACAGAAGUGGUUUGAUGAGGGUAAUGAUACAUGCCCAAAAACCAAAGUGAAAUUAGCUCAUUGUGCAUCGACUCCAAACACAACCAUUAAAGACCUAAUAUCAAAGUGGUGUGUGAAGUAUGGAGUCGCUAUUCAUGACCCAAGCAUUCGAGCAUUGAGGUUAUUGGACAUUUCUAUUAAUUCGAUCGCUAGUUUAAGCAGUUCCAUGAAUGAUCUAAACCUUCCACUGGACAUUAGCAAUAUAUCCCUGGGGUCUUUAGAUGCUAGUUACAGUUCAGAUGCUUCACAAUCUAAGGUUGCAAAUGGGUCAAAUUUGUUUUUGGUACAGGACAAUGAUUAUUCAUAUGAAUGCCAUUCUUAUACAAAUAAGAAUCAGCAAGACUUGAAGUUUCUGUCUGGACUUGCUGAGCUUCCCUGGGAUUCUCAAUGCAAGAUGGUUGAAGAUGUCAAGGGCUGUUUGCAGUGUAAUGAUCAAGUUUGUCCUUCUCAAUCAUCUGAGAAUUUUGUCGAACCUCUAUUUAGAUUCCUGAGAGAUGCACGUGAACAACAAGAUAUAGGAGCUCAGAGAGUUGGAUUUCACUUGUUGCUUUCAUUUGUCAGCAAAAACAGAAGUGGAAUAUCGUACUUGCAUGAAGAGGCCUUUAAUCUGUUGUCAUCAUUCCUUGAUUCCGAAGUAAUUGAAGAGGCUCUUGCCAUAUUUGAAGUGCUGUCUGGCUACCCAUAUUGCAGAUCUAAAAUCACUGCAUGUGGUGUUCUUGUUUCUAUCCGAAAGAUGCUUGACUCCCAUAACAAAGAAUUCCAAGAACUAGCCAUUAAAAUUCUACAUAAUUUGUCCUCAAACGAUGAUAUUUGUUCCCAAAUUGCAUCUAUGGAUUGCAUCCCAAAAUUGGUUCCUUUGAUGAAGGAUCAGAAUCUUUCAAGAUAUUCUAUAGUUCUAUUAAGAAAUUUGUGUGAUCUUGAAGUGGCUAGGGUUUCUGUUGCUGAGACAGAUGGAUGUAUUGCUUCUAUUGCUGAGCUACUUGAGAGUGGUAGUUGGGAGGAACAAGAGCAUGCAGUGGCCAUUCUGCUUUUGUUAUGCUCUCAGCGUCUUCAAUAUUGCCAGCUGGUGAUGGAUGAAGGUGUUAUCCCUUCCCUUGUUGAUAUAUCUAUCAAUGGAACUGACAAAGGGAGAGCAAGUGCAUUGGAAUUGCUUCGGCAGUUAAGAGACAUUGAAUAUGAUAAUGAUCAAGAAAGCUUUUGCUCUGAUCUUGUUACUGAUAGAAAUGCUGACCACCAAACAAGAGAAAAGAAAUCAUCUCCCAAGACAUCUGGAUUUUUCAAGAAUUUAUCAGUGUUCUCUGUACGCAGUUCUGUUGCAUCAAAAAAGAAGAGAUGACACUUCAAACCACUCCUUUUUCUGAUCUUUUGGGACUCAGAAUCCUUUUUAAUGUCAAAUAGAGAAUUAACCUUGGCAGUUUUCUGUUUCUCAUACCUUGUGGCACUACUCUUCUUGUCUGGAAUGGAAUUGCAAUAGCAUCAAACUGAAGAUAUUUUAUGUUUAAUUGCAUAAAAUGUUCUUUUUAUGAGAUUAUUUCUAUGUUCUGGGAACUGGUUGAAUGGCAACCAUUGAUAGCUCUGUUGCUGUCUUUGUUAUUCAAAGGCAAUCAAAGCUGAGGUCAGUAGUAAAUUAGUAACGGACUUUGCAAAUAUUAUUUUUUCAUUUGCAUGCUGAAUUGAGGAAUUUAGAAAGCUUGGUUGCCAAGUGUCAAUCUCUGACAGGAAAGAUUAAUGAGGUUGCCGCCGUGUCUUGCUGAUGGCAGUGCCUCAGGGAUGGAGGUUUUUUCUUUGGUCUGAUGUAAUUAAAUGCUGGAAGUUAAGCAGUUAAAGGGAGAGGAGGUGAUUACAUGGAGUGUGAUAGAUCUUAAACUUGAACCUGGGACUGGAGCUCAGGCGUGAAUUUGAUCUGAACAUUUGAUAAAUGAGCAGCUUUGAUGGCCGAAGCUGUUGGAGACGCAAGCAUAUGAAGGCGGGUGGGGAUUCUCCAAGGAUCCAACACUUUGCCGACCCUUGGUCUCCAAACCCCCAUCACUUACCUUGAUACCCAUCAUUUUAAAGAUGCCUCAGUUAUAUUUAUCUCAAUAAUAUGAAUUAUAUAUAGAGGCUUUAGAUCUCAAUGCUAUGUCUUUCUCAUCUUGUCUCGUGAGAUUUCUAUUGUAAUGAUUUUGUUUAUCACCACCUUGUUUUAAAUAUUUUCCUCUUAGCCAAUAGGAAAGCUUUAAGACAAUGGUCAA